AUUGAACGCUGGCGGCAGGCCUAACACAUGCAAGUCGAGCGGAGCGGCGGACGGGUGAGUAAUGCCUAGGAAUCUGCCUGGUAGUGGGGGAUAACGUCCGGAAACGGGCGCUAAUACCGCAUACUAUAACAUACCCUUAGGUCGGAUUAUCAGGUGGGUGGGUAAAAGGCCUACCAGGCCUACGUUCCGAAACUGGUCGGAGGGGAUGAUCAGUCACACUGGAACUGAGACACGGUCCAGACUCCUACGGGAGGCAGCAGUGGGGAAUGUUGGAUAAUGGGCGAAAGCCUGAUCCAGCCAUGCCGCGUGUGUGAAGAAGGUCUUCGGAUUGUAAAGCACUUUAAGUUGGGAGGCGUUACCAACAGAAUAAGCACCGGCUAACUUCGUGCCAGCAGCCGCGGUAAUAC
Molecule: ribosomal RNA, 407 nt
Filed under: uncultured bacterium
Lineage: Bacteria
Description: partial 16S ribosomal RNA
Rfam family: Bacterial small subunit ribosomal RNA
Source: RNAcentral